This 407-nucleotide ribosomal RNA is filed under the name uncultured bacterium. Its description in RNAcentral is "partial 16S ribosomal RNA". It matches the Rfam family "Bacterial small subunit ribosomal RNA", at positions 28 to 526 of the family's 1533-position model. The record is from RNAcentral.
GACGAACGCUGGCGGCGUGCCUAAUACAUGCAAGUAGAACGCAGUUGCGAACGGGUGAGUAACGCGUAGGUAACUGCCUCAUAGCGGGGGAUAACUAUUGGCAACGAUAGCUAAUACCGCAUACUGUGAGAUGGACCUGCGUUGUAUUAGCUAGUUGGUGAGGUAAAGGCUCACCAGGGCGACGAUACAUAGCCGCCCUGAGAGGGUGAUCGGCCAGACUGGGACUGAGACACGGCCCAUACUCCUACGGGAGGCAGCAGUAGGGAAGCGUCGGAAAUGGGCGAAAGCCUGAUCCAGCCAUGCCGCGUGUGUGAAGAAGGUCUUCGGAUUGUAAAGCACUUUAAGUUGGGAGGCGUUACCAACAGAAUAAGCACCGGCUAACUUCGUGCCAGCAACCGCGGUAAUAC